AUUAAAUUCAAAGGCCAGCUUCCCUUCCAUUCAAUUUAGAUGACUUGUGCAAUGCAAGUAAUAUUUGAAAUUAAUCAUUAAUGAACAAAAUGGCACAGAAACAGAAACCACAAUGGUGACAUUGGCAGUACCUGUUUUUUGCCACUUCCUCAACCAUCAUUCAAGAUAUAAUUUAAUCCUAACAUCAAUUCAUUUGGGUUUCCUGUUGGGGGGUUG
This 216-nucleotide unclassified non-coding RNA is filed under the name Hevea brasiliensis (rubber tree). The record is from RNAcentral. Lineage: Eukaryota; Viridiplantae; Streptophyta; Magnoliopsida; Malpighiales; Euphorbiaceae.